AGAGUUUGAUCCUGGCUCAGAGCGAACGCUGGCGGCGUGCUUAACACAUGCAAGUCGAGUGCGCAGUUUUUCUGUAGCAAUACAGGGAAAUGGGCGCACGGCGCACGGGUGAGUAACACGUGGGUAACCUGCCCUCCAAAAGGGGAUAACCCGCCGAAAGGCGGGCUAAUACCGUAUGACAUUACGAUUGUUUCGGCGAUUGUAAUCAAAGGCCGCAAGGCCGUUGGGGGAGGGGCCCGCGCCCGAUUAGCUAGUUGGUGAGGUAACGGCUCACCAAGGCUUUGAUCGGUAGCCGGUCUGAGAGGAUGGCCGGCCACACUGGAACUGAGACACGGUCCAGACUCCUACGGGAGGCAGCGGUGGGGAAUAUUGCGCAAUGGGCGAAAGCCUGACGCAGCGACACCGCGUGGGGGAUGAAGCAUCUCGGUGUGUAAACCCCUUUCGACCCGGAAGAAUGUCCCGCAAGGGAUUGACGGUACGGGUAUAAGAAGCCCCGGCUAACUACGUGCCAGCAGCCGCGGUAAUACGUAGGGGGCCAGCGUUGCUCGGAAUUACUGGGCGUAAAGGGUUCGUAGGCGGUGCGGCAAGUCGGAAGUGAAAUCUCCAGGCUCAACUUGGAGGCUGCUCCCGAAACUGCCGCGCUAGAGUGCGGGAGAGGCCAGUGGAAUUGCAGGUGUAGCGGUGAAAUGCGUAGAUAUCUGCAGGAACACCCGUGGCGAAGGCGGCUGGCUGGACCGCAACUGACGCUGAGGAACGAAAGCUAGGGGAGCAAACAGGAUUAGAUACCCUGGUAGUCCUAGCCCUAAACGAUCAGGACUUGGGGUGCAUCCCGACGGGGUGCGUCCCGUAGCUAACGCGUUAAGUCCUGCGCCUGGGGAGUACGGUCGCAAGACUGAAACUCAAAGGAAUUGACGG
This 915-nucleotide ribosomal RNA is filed under the name uncultured Terriglobales bacterium. RNAcentral's name for it is "bacterial SSU rRNA". It matches the Rfam family "Bacterial small subunit ribosomal RNA", at positions 8 to 916 of the family's 1533-position model. Lineage: Bacteria; Pseudomonadati; Acidobacteriota; Terriglobia; Terriglobales. The record is from RNAcentral.